AAAUUUGAGAGUAUGAUCCUGGCUCAGAAUGAACGCUGGCGGUAUGCUUAAUACAUGCAAGUCGAACGAGAAAAUUUAGUAAUAGAUGAGUAAAGUGGCGUACGGGUGAGUAAUGUACAGGAAUCUACCUGAUAGUAAGGAAUAAGCACUGGAAACGGUGUCUAAUACCAUAUAAUACCAUUUAUUUGGGAAAGGAUCGACUUGUCGAUCCGCUUUUGGAUGAGCCUGUAUCGGAUUAGCUAGUUGGUGGGGUAAAGGCCUACCAAGGCGAUGAUACGUAGCUGGUCUGAGAGGAUGAUCAGCCACAUUGGGACUGCGACACGGCCCAAACUCCUAC
Molecule: ribosomal RNA, 337 nt
Filed under: Rickettsiales bacterium
Lineage: Bacteria; Pseudomonadati; Pseudomonadota; Alphaproteobacteria; Rickettsiales
Description: bacterial SSU rRNA
Rfam family: Bacterial small subunit ribosomal RNA
Source: RNAcentral